Bactrocera neohumeralis is the source of this 252-nucleotide long non-coding RNA. RefSeq lists it as uncharacterized. The record is from RefSeq and is a predicted model, not a curated record. NCBI's taxonomy places the organism in Eukaryota, Metazoa, Arthropoda, Insecta, Diptera, Tephritidae. The transcript has 2 exons.
CGCUAGUCGAACAGCUGCAGUUUUAACAAGUUGAAGAGGGGGAGAGAAAAGAAAGUAGAAUGUAAUGUCUGCCUUCAGGAAAGAGCUGCAAUUCUUAAAUUUGGUAGACAAUAAAUGGAAACCUGUCGACAAUGCCCAACCAUGCGUUUUGCAUUUAGUCCCUAAACUGAAGAGCUUAACACUGAGUGCCGGAACAAAGCAGAUUGUACAUUAAGUUGUUUUUGAUUUCAAUAAAAUGCGCCAAGAGAUUUA